AUGAUCCCUCUGUCAACAAUCUUACAAAAAACAAAUGUUGGCUAUCAAACCUCCAAGCUAUCUCACAAAAUUUCACAUCUGAUGUACAUGGAUGACCUGAAGCUGUAUGGGAAAAUGGAAACUGAAACCCAGUUUCUGACUAACACUGUCCAAAUUUUUAGCACUGAUAUCAGCAUGGAGUUUGGUUUGGACAAAUGUUUGACAGUGGCAUUGAAGAAGGGAAAAAUAAUUGAAAAUGAGGUCAUAAAUAUGCUUAAUGGCCAAACAAUAAAGUGUCACCAGCCAGAGGCCUAUAAAUAUCUGGGCAUAUUACAGCUGACCAACAUCAAGCAUGAACAUGUAAAAACUGUGGUCAGCAAAGAAUACACACAAAGGGUCAGAAAAAUUCUCAAAAGCAAGCUCAAUGGAGGCAACACCAUCAAGGCCAUAAACACCUGGGCCAUACCUGUCAUAAGAUAUACUGCUGGCAUUAUAAAUUGGACACAGGCGGAACUGGACAAUUUGGACAGAAAAACAAGAAAACUCAUGACCAUUCAUCAUUCACUGCACCCUCGCAGUGAUGUUGACCGGCUAUAUCUGCCUAAAAGAUCAGGUGGCAGAGGACUCUUACAAGUAAAACAAGCAGUCAAAGAAGAAGAACAUGCCCUGGCAGAAUAUGUAAAGCAAAGUGAAGAACCUGCUUUGAUCGAAGUCAAAAGUCAGAAACUCCUCAAAGCACAGCAGACAAAAAACCAGUACAAGAAAACUGCACUACAAACUAGAACUGACAGCUGGCACAACAAAGCGUUGCAUGGAAAGUUCCUUGACAAAAUUGAAGGAAAAGCUGAUAAGGAGAAGACCUGGCUCUGGCUCACAAAUGGGACACUGAAGAAGGAGACAGAAGGCCUGAUCCUUGCAGCCCAGGAGCAAGCCAUCAGAACAAAUGCAAUUAAGGCCAAGAUCGAAAAAUCAGCUGAUGACCCAAAAUGCAGACUUUGCAAGGAAGCUGACGAAACCAUUGAUCAUUUCCUCAGCUGCUGUAAGAAAAUCACACAAACAGACUACAAACAGAGGCAUUACCAUGUGGCCCAAAUGAUUCAUUGGAACUUAUGCCACAAGUACCACCUGCCAGCAGUAAAGAACUGGUGGGAUCACAAACCUGCAAAAGUCAUGGGAAAUGACCAUGCAAAGAUAAUGUGGUACUUUCGAAUCCAGACUGACAAAGUUCUGGAAUACAACACACCAGACCUCACAGCUGUGGAAAAGAAAAAGGUUUGUAUCAUUGAUGUCACCAUACUAGGUGACAGUCGGAUUGAUGAAAAACAACAGGAAAAACUCAGCCACUAUCAGGACCUCAAGAUCGAACUGCAAAGACUCUGGCAGAAACCAGUACAGGUGGUCCUGGUGGUAAUUGGCACACUGGGUGCUGUGCCAAAAGAUCUCAGCCGGCCUUUAGAAACAAUAAACAUUGACAAAAUUAUGAUCUGUCAACUGCAAAAGGUCACCCUACUGGAAUCUGCACGCAUCAUCCGAAAAUACAUCACACUGUCCUAA
Molecule: long non-coding RNA, 1533 nt
Filed under: Anolis carolinensis (green anole)
Lineage: Eukaryota; Metazoa; Chordata; Lepidosauria; Squamata; Anolidae
Description: lncRNA (ENSACAG00000039668.1)
Source: RNAcentral